RNAcentral lists this ribosomal RNA (208 nucleotides) under uncultured bacterium. RNAcentral describes it as "partial 16S ribosomal RNA". It matches the Rfam family "Bacterial small subunit ribosomal RNA", at positions 568 to 775 of the family's 1533-position model. The record is from RNAcentral.
UACGUAGGUGGUUGGUUAAGUUUGAGGUGAAAGCUCCGAGCUCAACUCGGAAAAUGCCUUGAAGACUAUCUGACUAGAGGAUUGGAGGGGAGAUUGGAAUUCUCGGUGUAGCAGUGAAAUGCGUAGAUAUCGAGAGGAACACCAGUGGCGAAGGCGAAUCUCUGGACAAUUCCUGACACUGAGGCACGAAAGCCAAGGGAGCAAAACG